Molecule: ribosomal RNA, 505 nt
Filed under: uncultured bacterium
Lineage: Bacteria
Description: bacterial SSU rRNA
Rfam family: Bacterial small subunit ribosomal RNA
Source: RNAcentral
GAUGAACGCUAGCGGCAGGCUUAACACAUGCAAGUCGAGGGGCAGCGCGAUGUAGCAAUACAUUGGCGGCGACCGGCGCACGGGUGCGUAACACGUAUGGAACUUACCCUUUACUGGGAGAUAGCCCGGAGAAAUCCGGAUUAAUAUCCCAUAAUAAACGAGGUGGCAUCACUUUGUUUUGAAAGCUCCGGCGGUAAAGGAUGGCCAUGCGCACGAUUAGCUAGUAGGUGAGGUAACGGCUCACCUAGGCUACGAUCGUUAGGGGGCCUGAGAGGGUUAUCCCCCACACUGGUACUGAGACACGGACCAGACUCCUACGGGAGGCAGCAGUGAGGAAUAUUGCGCAAUGGAGGCAACUCUGACGCAGCCAUGCCGCGUGCAGGAAGAAGGCGCUACGCGUUGUAAACUGCUUUUAACCGGGAAGAAACCCCAGGACGUGUCCUGGGUUGACGGUACCGGAGGAAUAAGCACCGGCUAACUUCGUGCCAGCAGCCGCGGUAAUGUG